UUCUUCUCUGUUCAUUCUGGUUGGGGAAAGACGAAGGGGAAAUAGAGCACGAGAGAGAGAGAGAGCUGGUGGAUUGCCACCGGGAGAGGAGUUGGUAUGGAACGAGGAAGAUGGGCAGCAAGAAGAAGGCAAAUAAGUGUGUGUGUGGGGUUGGAAGCAGGAAGAAGUUCCAUGAGAAGGGUUCUUAAACCCAAUUAGAUUAUGAGUAUACUUAGGGACUGAGGAGACUGAAUCCCGCCAUUCGAAAGGUCGAUUCGAUGGACUACAUCUUAGGAUGACGCCGGCCCGAUCCAGCCAUCAAGUUCGGCCCAGCAGCAAGCCCGUUCGGCUCGGCCCAGUCCAUUGAUCACCUAGCCCAGCACCGACAGCGCAACUCGGCCCAACAAUCCAAUCGGCCCAGCCCUGAUCUCAAAGGCCCAGUCCGACCCAAUUCUCCCUCAGCAGCCCAACUCCCUGGCGAAUUUUUUUAAUUUUUUUAUUUACAGAAUCACCCCUCAACUUCCCGAACUAGGUAAAUUCCAGACUUAGUGGCAUGUUUAGGGCUCCGAUUCUGAAUAUUAAUGCUUGCUUGAAGGAUAUGAUGUGAAAUGAGAGUUUUUGGGUUGCGUGGGUAAUCGAAUUUGUCCCGAACUCGAUUUU
Non-coding RNA from Punica granatum (pomegranate), 639 nucleotides. Lineage: Eukaryota; Viridiplantae; Streptophyta; Magnoliopsida; Myrtales; Lythraceae. The record is from RefSeq and is a predicted model, not a curated record.